This 581-nucleotide ribosomal RNA is filed under the name uncultured fungus. RNAcentral's name for it is "eukaryotic LSU rRNA". It matches the Rfam family "Eukaryotic large subunit ribosomal RNA", at positions 40 to 647 of the family's 3401-position model. Lineage: Eukaryota; Fungi. The record is from RNAcentral.
AUAUCAAUAAGCGGAGGAAAAGAAACCAACAGGGAUUGCCCCAGUAACGGCGAGUGAAGCGGCAACAGCUCAAAUUUGAAAUCUGGCCUCGGCCCGAGUUGUAAUUUGCAGAGGAAGCUUCUGGUGCGGCGCCGUCCGAGUCUCCUGGAACGGAGCGCCAUAGAGGGUGAGAGCCCCGUAUGGACGGAUGCCAAGCCUGUGUGAAGCUCCUUCGACGAGUCGAGUAGUUUGGGAAUGCUGCUCAAAAUGGGAGGUAAAUUCCUUCUAAAGCUAAAUAUUGGCCAGAGACCGAUAGCGCACAAGUAGAGUGAUCGAAAGAUGAAAAGCACUUUGAAAAGAGGGUUAAACAGCACGUGAAAUUGUUGAAAGGGAAGCGCUUGUGACCAGACUUGAGCGCGGCGGAUCAUCCGGUGUUCUCACCGGUGCACUCCGCCGUGUCCAGGCCAGCAUCGGUUUCCACGGGGGGACAAAGGUCCCGGGAACGUAGCUCCUCCGGGAGUGUUAUAGCCCGGGGCGUAAUGCCCCCGCGGGGACCGAGGACCGCGCAUCUGCAAGGAUGCUGGCGUAAUGGUCAUCAGCGA